Non-coding RNA from Phasianus colchicus (ring-necked pheasant), 1066 nucleotides. NCBI's taxonomy places the organism in Eukaryota, Metazoa, Chordata, Aves, Galliformes, Phasianidae. The record is from RefSeq and is a predicted model, not a curated record.
UAAGCUUAGCAGGAAAGGAAAUAAGCAGUGCAGUGGGUCUAAUCGUUACCGCGUCAUAAUAUAACGACAUGUAGCGCAGUGAUAGUAAUUAAGAAAGAUGCAUCACCAGUUGCCCUGCUCCUUUAUCAUCAUCCAGAUUCACAGUUGCUGGGGAGCCCCGGUUGCAGGAAGGAUCUGGAGAACCCGUCUCAGCAGUUGGGAACUCAUACGGCGAUGUGUCCACCCCGGAGGUGAGGUCUGCAGAGCCACUGCAAGCACGUCCAGCCUUGAUGCCCUUGAAUAAUCUGGGGUAGGCAGCAGUCAGGUGAAACGUCCGGUUUCCUCUUUCUCGUUCUGGUUUUCUCCCUGAAAACCCUGUCCGGGGUUCAAGGAGGAGCAGAAAGAGCUGUGCCAUCUGUUUUGGUGUAGCACGGGCCUCUUUGGCAAGACUGAGCGCCCAGACCCCCGGCAAUAGGCUUAGUCGGGUGACAGACAUUGCAGCCGAGUUCCCUUGUGAGCAAGGCUCCCCACCUGACUGUGAGGUCACGCGGCGCAGUGCUCAGAACCCACAGAGCACUCGGCAGAGGUGUUUGGCCGAGUGCUGAGCAGGAACGUGCACGACGCGCGACUGCUGGCUUCCCGCCGCUUCCUCUUUCCCGUGGCGAGGCCAGCGCUCUACCGACGACAAGUGCUGGCCGGAGGGCUGGGUUCGGUGCCAUGGCACGGCACACGAAGCCCGAGGUGGAGCGGUACGUUGCCUUUGUGCGGUCCGCCGCCUCUUCUCCUAGAGAGAAAUCAUUGAAAGGAUUCAUCUGUGCUAAGCUGUAUUUUGAAAUAAAAGAAUAUGAACUUGCAAAAAGAUAUAUAUCUACUUAUCUCAGUGUCCAAGAGAGAGAUCCCAGAGCACACAGGAUUCUUGGACAAAUCAGGACGAGACAGAAAAAGCUGUUGGGUGUUACAAGGUAAGUGCUCCAGUGACCCCCAGUCACGUCCAGCUUUCUUCCUUUGUAAAUGGACUUUUAAAAUGCAUCUGUGCUGUGCAUUCCUUAAGCUCAGAGAGAAAAUGUGUUGUUUGUGGACAAAUUAA